RNAcentral lists this ribosomal RNA (1323 nucleotides) under Trichoderma avellaneum. Its description in RNAcentral is "eukaryotic LSU rRNA". It matches the Rfam family "Eukaryotic large subunit ribosomal RNA", at positions 68 to 1420 of the family's 3401-position model. The record is from RNAcentral. Lineage: Eukaryota; Fungi; Ascomycota; Sordariomycetes; Hypocreales; Hypocreaceae.
ACAGGGAUUGCCCCAGUAACGGCGAGUGAAGCGGCAACAGCUCAAAUUUGAAAUCUGGCCCCUCCGGGCCCGAGUUGUAGUUUGCAGAGGAUGCUUUUGGCGAGGCGCCGCCCGAGUUCCCUGGAACGGGACGCCACAGAGGGUGAGAGCCCCGUCUGGCUGGCCGCCGAGCCUCUGUAAAGCUCCUUCGACGAGUCGAGUAGUUUGGGAAUGCUGCUCAAAAUGGGAGGUAUAUGUCUUCUAAAGCUAAAUACUGGCCAGAGACCGAUAGCGCACAAGUAGAGUGAUCGAAAGAUGAAAAGCACCUUGAAAAGAGGGUUAAACAGUACGUGAAAUUGUUGAAAGGGAAGCGCUCGCGACCAGACUUGGCCGCGGCGGAUCAUCCGGGGUUCUCCCCGGUGCACUUCGCCGCGUCCAGGCCAGCAUCAGUUCGCCGCGGGGGACAAAGGCGUCGGGAACGUGGCUCCCCCGGGAGUGUUAUAGCCCGUCGCGCAAUACCCUGCGGUGGACUGAGGACCGCGCAUCUGCAAGGAUGCUGGCGUAAUGGUCACCAGCGACCCGUCUUGAAACACGGACCAAGGAGUCGUCUUCGUAUGCGAGUGUUCGGGUGUCAAACCCCUACGCGGAAUGAAAGUGAACGCAGGUGAGAGCUUCGGCGCAUCAUCGACCGAUCCUGAUGUUCUCGGAUGGAUUUGAGUAGGAGCAUACGGGGCCGGACCCGAAAGAAGGUGAACUAUGCCUGUAUAGGGUGAAGCCAGAGGAAACUCUGGUGGAGGCUCGCAGCGGUUCUGACGUGCAAAUCGAUCGUCAAAUAUGGGCAUGGGGGCGAAAGACUAAUCGAACCUUCUAGUAGCUGGUUUCCGCCGAAGUUUCCCUCAGGAUAGCAGUGUUGAGCUCAGUUUUAUGAGGUAAAGCGAAUGAUUAGGGACCCGGGGGCGCUAUAUUGCCUUCAUCCAUUCUCAAACUUUAAAUAUGUAAGAAGCCCUUGUUGCUUAGCUGAACGUGGGCAUUCGAAUGUAUCAACACUAGUGGGCCAUUUUUGGUAAGCAGAACUGGCGAUGCGGGAUGAACCGAACGCGAGGUUAAGGUGCCAGAGUAGACGCUCAUCAGACACCACAAAAGGCGUUAGUACAUCUUGACAGCAGGACGGUGGCCAUGGAAGUCGGAAUCCGCUAAGGACUGUGUAACAACUCACCUGCCGAAUGUACUAGCCCUGAAAAUGGAUGGCGCUCAAGCGUCUCACCCAUACCUCGCCCUCGGGGUAGAAAGCGAUGCCCCGAGGAGUAGGCGGACGUGGAGGUCAGUACGAAGCCUAGGGCGCAG